GUCUGUCAGGCAUUUGACUUCAGUGAAAUUACUGUAUAAUAGUUUGUCAUAAAGACUAACAAAUUUUGAUUCAAAUUUGCUCAGAUUGUGUAUGUGUGAGCUUUGCAUAACUAUUUAUCUGCUUAUAUUUUUCAUGUGGUUCUAAUUCCCACAUAUCACUAAUGUUUCUAAUCAUUGAUGCCUACAAUGGCACCAACCAUUUGAGAUUGUAUCGCUACUUAUGCCAUGCAUUAGGUCUGAUCUGCAAUUCUACUAUCAUUGAAUAAUUUGGUAAACAUCAAACAUCUAUAUUAGCUUUCCUUGCAUUAGUGUUAACUUACUUUGUUGAAG
This is a non-coding RNA of Paramuricea clavata, 330 nucleotides long. Lineage: Eukaryota; Metazoa; Cnidaria; Anthozoa; Malacalcyonacea; Plexauridae. The record is from the annotation of a GenBank genome assembly.